This 423-nucleotide ribosomal RNA is filed under the name uncultured bacterium. RNAcentral describes it as "bacterial SSU rRNA". It matches the Rfam family "Bacterial small subunit ribosomal RNA", at positions 202 to 622 of the family's 1533-position model. The record is from RNAcentral.
AAGACCUUGUGCUUUUGGAGCGGCCGAUGUCUGAUUAGCUAGUUGGUAGGGUAAAGGCCUACCAAGGCUACGAUCAGUAGUUGGUCUGAGAGGACGACCAGCCACACUGGGACUGAGACACGGCCCAGACUCCUACGGGAGGCAGCAGUGGGGAAUUUUGGACAAUGGGCGCAAGCCUGAUCCAGCAAUGCCGCGUGAGUGAAGAAGGCCUUCGGGUUGUAAAGCUCUUUCAGUCGAGAAGAAAAAGCUGCAGUGAAUAACUGUAGUUCAUGACGGUAUCGACAGAAGAAGCACCGGCUAACUACGUGCCAGCAGCCGCGGUAAUACGUAGGGUGCGAGCGUUAAUCGGAAUUACUGGGCGUAAAGGGUGCGCAGGCGGCUUUGUAAGUCAGAUGUGAAAUCCCCGGGCUUAACCUGGGAAUU